RNAcentral lists this ribosomal RNA (262 nucleotides) under uncultured bacterium. RNAcentral's name for it is "partial 16S ribosomal RNA". It matches the Rfam family "Bacterial small subunit ribosomal RNA", at positions 92 to 354 of the family's 1533-position model. The record is from RNAcentral.
CGACCGGCGCACGGGUGAGUAACACGUAUGGAACCUGCCCGCAGCAGGGGGAUAAGCGGAAGAAAUUCCGUCUAAUACCGCGUAACACCGCAGAGGGGCAUCCCUCGGCGGUUAAAGAUUCAUCGGCUGCGGAUGGCCAUGCGGCGCAUUAGCUAGUCGGCGGGGUAACGGCCCACCGAGGCGACGAUGCGUAGGGGUUCUGAGAGGAAGGUCCCCCACACUGGUACUGAGACACGGACCAGACUCCUACGGAAGGCAGCAG